This 492-nucleotide ribosomal RNA is filed under the name uncultured bacterium. Its description in RNAcentral is "partial 16S ribosomal RNA". It matches the Rfam family "Bacterial small subunit ribosomal RNA", at positions 29 to 507 of the family's 1533-position model. The record is from RNAcentral.
AGUGAACGCUGGCGGUAGGCCUAACACAUGCAAGUCGAACGGCAGCACAGUAAGAGCUUGCUCUUACGGGUGGCGAGUGGCGGACGGGUGAGGAAUACAUCGGAAUCUACUUUUUCGUGGGGGAUAACGUAGGGAAACUUACGCUAAUACCGCAUACGACCUACGGGUGAAAGCAGGGGAUAUUCGGACCUUUCGCGAUUGAAUGAGCCGAUGUCGGAUUAGCUAGUUGGCGGGGUAAAGGCCCACCAAGGCGACGAUCCGUAGCUGGUCUGAGAGGAUGAUCAGCCACACUGGAACUGAGACACGGUCCAGACUCCUACGGGAGGCAGCAGUGGGGAAUAUUGGACAAUGGGCGCAAGCCUGAUCCAGCCAUACCGCGUGGGUGAAGAAGGCCUUCGGGUUGUAAAGCCCUUUUGUUGGGAAAGAAAAGCAGCAGGUUAAUACCCCGCUGUUCUGACGGUACCCAAAGAAUAAGCACCGGCUAACUUCGUG